RNAcentral lists this ribosomal RNA (808 nucleotides) under Ruegeria sp. Its description in RNAcentral is "bacterial SSU rRNA". It matches the Rfam family "Bacterial small subunit ribosomal RNA", at positions 19 to 874 of the family's 1533-position model. The record is from RNAcentral. Lineage: Bacteria; Pseudomonadati; Pseudomonadota; Alphaproteobacteria; Rhodobacterales; Roseobacteraceae.
CAGGCUCAGAACGAACGCUGGCGGCAGGCCUAACACAUGCAAGUCGAGCGCGCCCUUCGGGGUGAGCGGCGGACGGGUUAGUAACGCGUGGGAAUAUACCCUUUUCUGCGGAAUAGCCUCUGGAAACGGAGAGUAAUACCGCAUACGCCCUUCGGGGGAAAGAUUUAUCGGGGAAGGAUUAGCCCGCGUUAGAUUAGGUAGUUGGUGGGGUAAUGGCCUACCAAGCCUACGAUCUAUAGCUGGUUUUAGAGGAUGAUCAGCAACACUGGGACUGAGACACGGCCCAGACUCCUACGGGAGGCAGCAGUGGGGAAUCUUGGACAAUGGGCGCAAGCCUGAUCCAGCCAUGCCGCGUGAGUGAUGAAGGCCUUAGGGUCGUAAAGCUCUUUCGCCUGUGAAGAUAAUGACGGUAGCAGGUAAAGAAACCCCGGCUAACUCCGUGCCAGCAGCCGCGGUAAUACGGAGGGGGUUAGCGUUGUUCGGAAUUACUGGGCGUAAAGCGCACGUAGGCGGACUGGAAAGUUGGGGGUGAAAUCCCAGGGCUCAACCCUGGAACUGCCUCCAAAACUAUCAGUCUAGAGUUCGAGAGAGGUGAGUGGAAUUCCGAGUGUAGAGGUGAAAUUCGUAGAUAUUCGGAGGAACACCAGUGGCGAAGGCGGCUCACUGGCUCGAUACUGACGCUGAGGUGCGAAAGUGUGGGGAGCAAACAGGAUUAGAUACCCUGGUAGUCCACACCGUAAACGAUGAAUGCCAGUCGUCGGGUAGCAUGCUAUUCGGUGACACACCUAACGGAUUAAGCAUUCCGCCU